Long non-coding RNA from Mytilus californianus (California mussel), 517 nucleotides. RefSeq lists it as uncharacterized. The transcript is spliced from 2 exons. The record is from RefSeq and is a predicted model, not a curated record. NCBI's taxonomy places the organism in Eukaryota, Metazoa, Mollusca, Bivalvia, Mytilida, Mytilidae.
CUCGGCAGAUUAUAAUGGAACAUGAAGGGUAGCGGAAUCUGCCGAGUCUUAUCAGGAUGAGGUGCAUCAUUCGCAAAUCCAGUGUCAUAUCGAGUUCAUUGUUUUCGUAAGCACUUCCGAUAUGCACAAUCAACAUUUCCUCAAAAUAAAUAGAAAGAUGCUUGUUUAUUUCAAUAGUUAUAAGUGGUUGUGAUUUUUUUUAUAAUUUUAUUGAUAUGUAUUGUUUUAUUCUAGAUGAGAGAAGUGCAGAGGAAAUCAUCAUCUGUCUUGGCAUGCUAAAAGAGGAGAUAAAGAACAGUAGCAAAUAUGCUGCUAGGCCAUUGACCAGCAGUUGGGUACUAAGAAAGGAGAAGCUCUUAUUGACCUGUAAAAUGAAAACAGGACAUUUUCAAAUUGUUUUGUUGUAGGGAUGGGAUACAAGUAGAAGAUUGGCCAAUAUUAUGUACAUGUACCUUGAUAUGAAUUUAUUUUUGAUUGUGUUCAAUGAUAAACUGGAAAUAAAUGAUAACAUAAAUUC